GCUGGCGGCGUGCUUAACACAUGCAAGUCGAACGAUGAAGCCUUUCGGGGUGGAUUASUGGCGAACGGGUGAGUAACACGUGGGCAAUCUGCCCUGCACUCUGGGACAAGCCCUGGAAACGGGGUCUAAUACCGGAUAAUACCUUCCCUCGCAUGGGGGUGGGUUCAAAGCUCCGGCGGUGCAGGAUGAGCCCGCGGCCUAUCAGCUUGUUGGUGAGGUAGUGGCUCACCAAGGCGACGACGGGUAGCCGGCCUGAGAGGGCGACCGGCCACACUGGGACUGAGACACGGCCCAGACUCCUACGGGAGGCAGCAGUGGGGAAUAUUGCACAAUGGGCGAAAGCCUGAUGCAGCGACGCCGCGUGAGGGAUGACGGCCUUCGGGUUGUAAACCUCUUUCAGCAGGGAAGAAGCGAAAGUGACGGUACCUGCAGAAGAAGCGCCGGCUAACUACGUGCCAGCAGCCGCGGUAAUACGUAGUGCGCAAGCGUUGUCCGGAAUUAUUGGGCGUAAAGAGCUCGUAGGCGGUCUGUCGCGUCGGAUGUGAAAGCCCGGGGCUUAACCCCGGGUCUGCAUUCGAUACGGGCAGACUAGAGUGUGGUAGGGGAGAUCGGAAUUCCUGGUGUAGCGGUGAAAUGCGCAGAUAUCAGGAGGAACACC
RNAcentral lists this ribosomal RNA (658 nucleotides) under uncultured soil bacterium. RNAcentral's name for it is "bacterial SSU rRNA". It matches the Rfam family "Bacterial small subunit ribosomal RNA", at positions 35 to 710 of the family's 1533-position model. The record is from RNAcentral.